RNAcentral lists this ribosomal RNA (490 nucleotides) under uncultured bacterium. RNAcentral describes it as "partial 16S ribosomal RNA". It matches the Rfam family "Bacterial small subunit ribosomal RNA", at positions 28 to 507 of the family's 1533-position model. The record is from RNAcentral.
GAUGAACGCUAGCUACAGGCUUAACACAUGCAAGUCGAGGGGCAGCAUGGUCUUAGCUUGCUAAGGCCGAUGGCGACCGGCGCACGGGUGAGUAACACGUAUCCAACCUGCCGUCUACUCUUGGACAGCCUUCUGAAAGGAAGAUUAAUACAAAAUGGCAUCAUGAGUCCGCAUGUUCGCAUGAUUAAAGUUAUUCCGGUAGACGAUGGGGAUGCGUUCCAUUUGAUAGUAGGCGGGGUAACGGCCCAGCUAGUCUUCGAUGGGUAGCGGUUCUGUGAGGGAGGUCCCCCAGAUUUGAACUGAGACACAGACCAAAACCGUACGGGACGGAGCAGUGAGUAAUACUGGGCAAGGGGCGCUGGCCUGAAACAGCCAAGUAGCGUGAAGGAUGACUGCCCUAUGGGUUGUAAACUUCUUUUAGAAAGGAAUAAAGUCGGGUAUGUAUACCCGUUUGAAGGUACUUUAUGAAUAAGGAUCGGCUAACUACGUG